UGCGGUCUUUUGAGCGGAGUGGAACUACUCCUUCCCAUACCGAACAGAGAUGUAAAACGCUCCAGCGCCGACGAUAGUAUAUCCGCAAGGAUAUGCGAAAAUAAGUCAAGGCCGUGG
This 117-nucleotide ribosomal RNA is filed under the name Candidatus Gottesmanbacteria bacterium. Lineage: Bacteria; Candidatus Gottesmaniibacteriota. The record is from RNAcentral.